UGACCAAAGUGCCCAGUGUCCUCUCCUGGAGGCCAAACCUGCUUUAGCCACAUCCCUUACUUUGCACGGAUAUCAUCUUUAAGUGUUCCCUAACUCAGGUUGUCAAGUCAUUGAUUAGGAAUGCAGACUCAGCAAACCCCAGGUGAUAAAUAGCCUAUGACAUAUUAACUUGCACAGAAAGUCUCUAUUGCUCGGAAAUCUUUUUAGGUUGAUAAAUUGGAGGAUCUACCACAAAAUCCAUAAUAAUGUGUUUUUCUCUGUAGCUCAGUUAGAAAUAAUAAGGUACCAAGUGUUAUCAGAGAUGAAUAAGCUCCAAAGUAUUUGCAGAAGUAUUUUAAUUUAUUAAACCUGCAGAAUAGUUGAAAUAUUCAUAAGAAUGGUUUUGCUGCAAGUUUCUCAGCUUUUUUGUCUCCUGGACUGGAUAAUGCUACAUAAAGACCUGAAGCUAACCAGGCCUUUGAAUUCUCAUCACAGACACAUUUGGCAUACAAAAAGACAAACAAAUCCCCUUUUUGAAGACAGAAGUUCAGCUCCUGUUCUCUUAUUUAGAAGAAAACGUAUUUCCUUUAAAGAUAUUUCAGACCUUUGCAUCUCCUCAUGUAAAUCCUUGUCGGAAAUGUCCCAGGAACAUGCAGCAUCCACUCCAGAUGACAGAAGACCCAGAUGUCUUCACAGACAGGCUGAUGCUGCACACUCCAUCUGAUCCUCUGUGAAAUCUCAGCCUGGAGUUCCACGGGCCCCCUUUCAGCAGCCAGCCUCGACUCUUGCCUUAAGCGCACACAUUCAAUUAUUUAGCAAGGAAAAUGGGCUCCUGUAACUAAUAAAACAUCUGAUUUAGCCCCUUAAUCCCAUUCUAACAUCUUUAAACCAGUGCCAACACAGGUGAGACCUCUGGGAGAGGAAAGCUAAAUAUUGCUCUCUGCCUCGUGGCUUGCUUUCAAACGUACAUUUCAUUCCCCCUCUGUUGCUCAGAAUUAAUGUUGCAAGGAGAGCAGCAGAGAGCUUUUCUAGGAAAGCAUGGCAAAUGCCCAGCUCCAGCAGAACCCUGCCUACCGCUGUGCGGAUCCGCUGUACCACGGGUAAUUCAUCCCGCAUGGCAAAGACCUGCUCUUCUGAAAUGCUCAGCUGUUAGCAAGCUGAGGAAACCGACCCACGGGUCAAAGCUCUCGGAGCAAACCUUCCUGCCUUGUUUGUCAGGUUUUUAAGAGCUAAAACCCAGCAGGUGGGAAGGAAGAGAUUGAAGGGGGCAAUUUUUCAUUCUUCCAUAAGCAAAUUCCUGGCCGCAAUCUCUGCAGCUCCUGGUGGGGUGGCCUAACGGAACUAGACAGCACAGCCCAAAAUCUUGCCUGCUUAAUUGUGUGCUUCACUGGACUGACACCGGGAAUGAAUUUAGCUCACUUGAGGCUCAGCUGGAGAUGGGGUGGCUUUGGAGAAGCUUACGCUUUGUCCCCCUGCAUCACCCCUCCUUGAUUGAGCACCUUCUCUGCAGGCUCUGACAAGAGCAGAUUAUCCCAGCGAAGGCUAAGAGGUCAUGGAAAACAAGGAGCAAGUUCUGUUCAGAGCUUCUGCUUCCCGUUUGCAUCACUGUCAGCGGCAACUGCAGAGCAUUUGUCUGGUCCUCCCUUGGAUUGCAGCGUAUUUCUGUUUUCUUACAGUAUAGACUCAUCCCAGUUUGUUUCUAA
Molecule: long non-coding RNA, 1682 nt
Organism: Pezoporus flaviventris
Lineage: Eukaryota; Metazoa; Chordata; Aves; Psittaciformes; Psittacidae
Exons: 2
Source: RefSeq, a predicted model, not a curated record